This is a long non-coding RNA of Puntigrus tetrazona (Sumatra barb), 753 nucleotides long. RefSeq lists it as uncharacterized. Lineage: Eukaryota; Metazoa; Chordata; Actinopteri; Cypriniformes; Cyprinidae. The transcript has 3 exons. The record is from RefSeq and is a predicted model, not a curated record.
GAUCAGAAUCAAUGGGUCCAACGUAAUAAAGUGCACAUCUAUGAUGAUAAUAAUAAAGGACUUCUGAAGGUUUUUAUCAGUGAUUUAACUGAAGGUGAUGAAGGAACGUACAGAUGUGGAGUGAAUACUGAUAAAGAUCAUCUGUUCACUGAGAUCAAACUGAAGAUCAGUACAGCUGAUGAUUUUCCUGCAUCAAGCACAUCAGCUGUUUUUGGUGAAAGUGUGAAGCUCACCUGUAAUUCUCCUGAGAAAAACAAGACCUUCAAACACAUCUGUAAAGAGAACGAGGAGAAGAUCUGUGAGAAGAUCAGUUCAUCAGAGUUUUCUGAAAGUACAGCAGGAGUUUUCACAGCGAUCUUCAGUAAUGUGAGGCUGAGAGAUGCUGGAGUUUACUGGUGUGGAGAAGAAACCAGAAACAAACAUCUGACUUCUGUUUCUCUCACCAAUAAACAUGAGCUGACUUUAUCCAUUCCUCCAGUCAUCAGACGAGAAGGAGAUUCAGUCGACAUCAAAUGUCCUUAUGAUAAAAAUAUUCAAAAAAAACAAAGCAUCUGUCCAAAGGAAAAUGUUUCAAGAAAGAUGCUCAAAAUAUAAUUCGAUCAGAUGAAGCCCAUGUUAAAAAGCCAAAUAUUUCAGUGAAGGACGACACUGAGCUCUUCACUGUGACCAUGACUGAGCUGAGAGCAGAGGAUGCUGGGAAAUACUGGUGUUCAGUGAAAGACGAGCUUCUUCUUCCUGUUGAGCUCAUGAUCA